Molecule: ribosomal RNA, 166 nt
Filed under: uncultured bacterium
Lineage: Bacteria
Description: partial 16S ribosomal RNA
Rfam family: Bacterial small subunit ribosomal RNA
Source: RNAcentral
UACGGGAGGCAGCAGUAGGGAAUAUUGGACAAUGGGCGAAAGCCUGAUCCAGCAAUGCCGCGUGAGUGAUGAAGGCCUUAGGGUUGUAAAGCUCUUUUACCCGGGAUGAUAAUGACAGUACCGGGAGAAUAAGCUCCGGCUAACUCCGUGCCAGCAGCCGCGGUAA